RNAcentral lists this ribosomal RNA (486 nucleotides) under uncultured bacterium. RNAcentral describes it as "partial 16S ribosomal RNA". It matches the Rfam family "Bacterial small subunit ribosomal RNA", at positions 30 to 507 of the family's 1533-position model. The record is from RNAcentral.
AUUGAACGCUGGCGGCAUGCCUUACACAUGCAAGUCGAACGGCAGCACGGGUGCUUGCACCUGGUGGCGAGUGGCGAACGGGUGAGUAAUACAUCGGAACAUGUCCUGUAGUGGGGGAUAGCCCGGCGAAAGCCGGAUUAAUACCGCAUAUGAUCUACGGAUGAAAGCGGGGGACCUUCGGGCCUCGCGCUAUAGGGUUGGCCGAUGGCUGAUUAGCUAGUUGGUGGGGUAAAGGCCUACCAAGGCGACGAUCAGUAGCUGGUCUGAGAGGACGACCAGCCACACUGGGACUGAGACACGGCCCAGACUCCUACGGGAGGCAGCAGUGGGGAAUUUUGGACAAUGGGCGAAAGCCUGAUCCAGCAAUGCCGCGUGUGUGAAGAAGGCCUUCGGGUUGUAAAGCACUUUUGUCCGGAAAGAAAUCCUUGGCCCUAAUACGGUCGGGGGAUGACGGUACCGGAAGAAUAAGCACCGGCUAACUACGUG